CGAAGUUAAGCAACAUUGGACCUGGUCAGUACUUAGAUGGGUGACCGCUUGGGAAUACCAAGUGCUGUAAG
This is a non-coding RNA of Acanthosepion pharaonis, 71 nucleotides long. The record is from the annotation of a GenBank genome assembly. Lineage: Eukaryota; Metazoa; Mollusca; Cephalopoda; Sepiida; Sepiidae.